AGAGUUUGAUCAUGGCUCAGGAUAAACGCUGGCGGCGUGCAUAACACAUGCAAGUCGAACGAUGAAACUUAACUGAUCUCUUCGGAGUGAAAUUAAGUGGAUUAGUGGCGGACGGGUGAGUAACGCGUGAGUAACCUGCCUUAGAGAAGGGGAUAGCCUUUGGAAACGAAGAAUAAUACCCUAUGAUAUGAUAGCAUCGCAUGAUAUUAUCAUCAAAGAUUUAUCGCUCUAAGAUGGACUUGCGUCUGAUUAGUUAGUUGGUGAGGUAAGGGCUCACCAAGGCAGCGAUCAGUAGCCGGCUUGAGAGAGUGUACGGCCACAUUGGGACUGAGACACGGCCCAGACUCCUACGGGAGGCAGCAGUGGGGAAUUUUGCACAAUGGGGGAAACCCUGAUGCAGCGACGCCGCGUGAUUUAGAAGGCCUUCGGGUUGUAAAAAUCUUUUGUAUGGGAAGAAAAUGACAGUACCAUACGAAUAAGGACCGGCUAAUUACGUGCCAGCAGCCGCGGUAAUACGUAAGGUCCGAGCGUUGUCCGGAAUCAUUGGGCGUAAAGGGUACGUAGGCGGGUAAGCAAGUUAGAAGUGAAAUCCUAUAGCUCAACUAUAGUAAGCUUUUAAAACUGUUCAUCUUGAGGUAUGGAAGGGAAAGUGGAAUUCCUAGUGUAGCGGUGAAAUGCGCAGAUAUUAGGAGGAAUACCGGUGGCGAAGGCGACCUUCUGGCCAUAUCCUGACGCUGAGGUACGAAAGCGUGGGUAGCAAACAGGAUUAGAUACCCUGGUAGUCC
Molecule: ribosomal RNA, 785 nt
Filed under: uncultured bacterium
Lineage: Bacteria
Description: bacterial SSU rRNA
Rfam family: Bacterial small subunit ribosomal RNA
Source: RNAcentral